CGAUAACCUUUAAAAAGCUUAAUAACCUAAUUUUAUAACUUAGAAGAGGUAAGUCGUAACAUGGUAAGUGUACUGGAAAGUGCACUUGGUAAUCAAAAUAUAGCUUAGCAAAAGCAACUCGUUUACACCGAGAAAACGUCUGUUAAACCCAGAUUAUUUUGAGCCUAAAAUCUAGCCUAUAACUAAUUACAUAAGGAUAAUCUUCUAAACCUUUCCCAGCUAAAACAUUUUUCUAUUUUAGUAGGGGCGAUCGAAAAAAACUUCAGCGCUUAAGAAACAGUACCACAAGGGAAAUAUGAAAUAAAAAUGAAACAAAUUUAAAGCUAAUAAUAGCAGAGAACCUAACUCGUACCUUUUGCAUCAUGGUCUAGCUAGUCUAACCAGGCAAAAUGAAAAUUUUAGUCCGCCUCCCCGAAACUAAGCGAGCUACUUCAAAACAGCCAUAGCCAACCCGUCUCUGUUGCAAUAGAGUGGGAAGAUUUUCAAGUAGCAGUGACAAGCCUAUCGAGCUUAGAGAUAGCUGGUUAUUCAGGAAAAGAAUCUUAGUUCUGCCUAAAAUUAUUUUUUGCCAAAAACAACUUAACAAAUUUUUAGAGUUACUCAAUUAAGGAACAGCUUAUUUGAAUUAGGACACAACCUAAAUAGUGGGGUAAAAGCUCUUAUAUUAUAACAAGUGGGCCUAAAAGCAGCCAUCUGUUUAAAAGCGUUAAAGCUUAAUUUAAUUAACUAAUAAUACCUCGUGUAAAUAUGAACCCACCAAACUUACUGAAUGAUCUUAUUUUUUUAUAAGACACAUUAUGCUAGAACUAGUAACAAGAAUUUAUUAUUCUCCAAAAUGUAAACAUAAACCAGAAUGGAUAUCCCGCUGGUAUUUAACGAACAUGAACACCCUGCAGCAACAUAACAAGAAAACUCUGCAUUAACCAAUCGUUAACCUGACACUAGAACAUUUCUGGAAAGAUUAAAAGAGAAAGAAGGAACUCGGCAAACUUUAGCCUCGCCUGUUUACCAAAAACAUCGCCUCUUGCUCAAUAAUAAGAGGUCAGGCCUGCCCGGUGAUGAAAUUUAACGGCCGCGGUACCCUAACCGCGCGAAGGUAGCAUAAUCACUUGUUCUUUAAAUAGGGACCUGUAUCAACGGCAUAACGAAGGUUACACUGUCUCCUCUCUCCAAUCAGUGAAACUGAUCUCCCUGUGAAAAAGCAGGGAUAAAUUUAUAAGACGAGAAGACCCCAUGGAGCUUCAAACCUACCGCAACUUAAACACUUAAUUCUACCUAUUUACAAAGACAUGCCUACCGGUUUUAGGUUGGGGUGACCAUGGAGUAAAAUCUAACCUCCUUAACGUAAAGACCUUAAUCUUCAUCUAAGAGCCACCACUCUAAGAACUAGUAUACUAACGCACACUGAUCCGAUAAUCGAUUAAUGAACCAAGUUACCCUGGGGAUAACAGCGCAAUCUAUUUCAAGAGUUCUUAUCGACAAAUAGGCUUACGACCUCGAUGUUGGAUCAGGGUAUCCCAGUGGUGCAACCGCUACUAAUGGUUCGUUUGUUCAACGAUUAAAAC
This 1565-nucleotide ribosomal RNA is filed under the name Kurixalus absconditus. RNAcentral's name for it is "partial large subunit ribosomal RNA". It matches the Rfam family "Bacterial large subunit ribosomal RNA", at positions 306 to 2594 of the family's 2925-position model. Lineage: Eukaryota; Metazoa; Chordata; Amphibia; Anura; Rhacophoridae. The record is from RNAcentral.